This 468-nucleotide ribosomal RNA is filed under the name uncultured bacterium. RNAcentral's name for it is "partial 16S ribosomal RNA". It matches the Rfam family "Bacterial small subunit ribosomal RNA", at positions 28 to 507 of the family's 1533-position model. The record is from RNAcentral.
GAUGAACGCUGGCGGCGUGCUUAACACAUGCAAGUCGAACGGAAAGGCCCUGCUUUUGUGGUGUGCCCGAGUGGCGAACGGGUGAGUAACACGUGAGUAACCUGCCCUUGACUUUGGGAUAACUUCAGGAAACCGGGGCUAAUACCGGAAAGGAGCUCCAGCGGCAUGGUGGGGGUUGGAAAGUUUCGGCGGUUGGGGAUGGACUCGCGGCUUAUCAGCUUGUUGGUGGGGUAGUGGCUUACCAAGGCUUUGACGGGUAGCCGGCCUGAGAGGGUGACCGGCCACAUUGGGACUGAGAUACGGCCCAGACUCCUACGGGAGGCAGCAGUGGGGAAUAUUGCACAAUGGGCGGAAGCCUGAUGCAGCAACGCCGCGUGCGGGAUGACGGCCUUCGGGUUGUAAACCGCUUUCGCCUGUGCCGAAGCGUGAGUGACGGUAAUGGGUAAAGAAGCACCGGCUAACUACGUG